AUCUACAGCCAUGCCACCCUGACCGUGCCCGAUCUCGUCUGAUUUCGGAAGCUAAGCAAGGUUGGUUGGGUCUGGUUAGUACUUGGAUGGGAGACCACCUAGGAAGACCAGGUGCUGUAGGUG
This 123-nucleotide ribosomal RNA is filed under the name Pteropus alecto (black flying fox). Lineage: Eukaryota; Metazoa; Chordata; Mammalia; Chiroptera; Pteropodidae. RNAcentral also lists the same sequence under 1 other name. The record is from RNAcentral.